Molecule: ribosomal RNA, 115 nt
Organism: Danio rerio (zebrafish)
Lineage: Eukaryota; Metazoa; Chordata; Actinopteri; Cypriniformes; Danionidae
Source: Ensembl
GUGGGCAGCUAGCUCCCUGCAACUUUUACAUGGUCAACCACUAAAGCCGAGCAGGGCUGCGCCCGGUCAGUACCUGGAUGGAAGACCACAUGGGAAAGCUAGGUGACUGUCGGAA